Molecule: ribosomal RNA, 488 nt
Filed under: uncultured bacterium
Lineage: Bacteria
Description: bacterial SSU rRNA
Rfam family: Bacterial small subunit ribosomal RNA
Source: RNAcentral
CUACGUGCCAGSCAGCCSCGGUAAUACGUAGGUGSCAAGCGUUGUCCGGAAUUAUUGGGCGUAAAGCGCGCGCAGGCGGAUUGGUCAGUCUGUCUUAAAAGUUCGGGGCUUAACCCCGUGAUGGGAUGGAAACUGCCAAUCUAGAGUAUCGGAGAGGAAAGUGGAAUUCCUAGUGUAGCGGUGAAAUGCGUAGAUAUUAGGAAGAACACCAGUGGCGAAGGCGACUUUCUGGACGAAAACUGACGCUGAGGCGCGAAAGCCAGGGGAGCGAACGGGAUUAGAUACCCCGGUAGUCCUGGCCGUAAACGAUGGGUACUAGGUGUAGGAGGUAUCGACCCCUUCUGUGCCGGAGUUAACGCAAUAAGUACCCCGCCUGGGGAGUACGACCGCAAGGUUGAAACUCAAAGGAAUUGACGGGGGCCCGCACAAGCGGUGGAGUAUGUGGUUUAAUUCGACGCAACGCGAAGAACCUUACCAGGUCUUGACAU